Molecule: ribosomal RNA, 465 nt
Filed under: Vreelandella stevensii
Lineage: Bacteria; Pseudomonadati; Pseudomonadota; Gammaproteobacteria; Oceanospirillales; Halomonadaceae
Description: partial 16S ribosomal RNA
Rfam family: Bacterial small subunit ribosomal RNA
Source: RNAcentral
CCUACGGGAGGCAGCAGUGGGGAAUAUUGGACAAUGGGGGGAACCCUGAUCCAGCCAUGCCGCGUGUGUGAAGAAGGCCCUCGGGGUGUAAAGCACUUUCAGUGAGGAAGAACGCCUGGUGGUUAAUACCCAUCAGGAAAGACAUCACUCACAGAAGAAGCACCGGCUAACUCCGUGCCAGCAGCCGCGGUAAUACGGAGGGUGCGAGCGUUAAUCGGAAUUACUGGGCGUAAAGCGCGCGUAGGUGGCUUGAUAAGCCGGUUGUGAAAGCCCCGGGCUCAACCUGGGAACGGCAUCCGGAACUGUCAAGCUAGAGUGCAGGAGAGGAAGGUAGAAUUCCCGGUGUAGCGGUGAAAUGCGUAGAGAUCGGGAGGAAUACCAGUGGCGAAGGCGGCCUUCUGGACUGACACUGACACUGAGGUGCGAAAGCGUGGGUAGCAAACAGGAUUAGAUACCCUAGUAGUC